Molecule: ribosomal RNA, 461 nt
Filed under: uncultured bacterium
Lineage: Bacteria
Description: SSU rRNA
Rfam family: Bacterial small subunit ribosomal RNA
Source: RNAcentral
AGAAUCAACGCUGGCGGCGUGCCUAACACAUGCAAGUCGAACGAGAAAGUGGAGCAAUCCAUGAGUAAAGUGGCGCACGGGUGAGUAACACGUGACUAACCUACCCUUGAGUGGGGGAUAACCUAGGGAAACCUGGGCUAAUACCGCAUAAUACCUUCGGGUCAAAGGAGCAAUUCGCUUAAGGAGGGGUCGCGGCCGAUUAGUUAGUUGGCGGGGUAAUGGCCCACCAAGACUAUGAUCGGUAUCCGGCCUGAGAGGGCGCGACGGACGACGACUGGAACUGAACACGGUCCAGACUCCUACGGGAGGCAGCAGUGGGGAAUUUUGCGCAAUGGGGGAAACCCUGACGCAGCAACGCCGCGUGGAGGAUGAAGUCCCUUGGGACGUAAACUCCUUUCGAUCGGGACGAUUAUGACGGUACCGAGAGAAGAAGCCCCGGCUAACUUCGUGCCAGCAGCCGC